UCUCUCCAGCCUAACGCUAUCCCUUCCCUCUCUCCAGCCUAACGCUAUCCCUUCCCUCUCUCCAGCCUAACGCUAUCCAAAGUGUUACUGCUGUUAUUUUCAUGGAAAUUAUAAAGGAAUCCAUCAAAACUGUGAUGUAUAGAGAUUUGGAUACAAAUCCUUCAUGUAUAGACUAGUCCUCUGAAAGUAACUGUUGAAUCAAUCUGUUGUUAUGGACGUGUGUGUGUGCUCCAAAUGGAACCCUAUUCCUUAUAUAGUGCACUGCCUUUGACUAAGUAGUGCACUAUAUAGGCAAUAGGGGUGGCAUUUUGGAGGCAUGCAAUGUUGCGUUUUAUUUCCACCAUGGUGUGUUGUCCUGGAUAAAACGUUUCCAACUGAACUAGUAUCAGGCUGGAAUGGACAUGGCCUUGCUACAUCUCAUGGUUGAUCGAUUUAUGGUGUUUUUACAUUUUUACUGUUCAACUGUCCUUGGUGUAUUGUGUGAAUAAAUUAGAUCUUUUUUAUUUGUCAGGCUGUGUGCGUGUCUGAAAUGCCACUCUGUUUCCUAUAUAUAAAGCCCCAUAGGCUCUGGUCAAAAGUAGUGCACUAUAUAGGGUGUCAUUGGGCUCUGGUCAAAGUAGUGCACUUUAUAGGGAAUUGGGUGCCUUUUCAGACACACACAGUGUAUCUAGUUGAUGCCCUGCACCCAAUGUUGAAAUAAUGUUAGUUGAUAGUUUUCUAUGUUCUCUCAUGGAGGCCAGAGUAAAAUGAAGUAGUAAGCUAUUCUAGGCUACUGCUUGUUGUAUAACUUGCCUACUGAAGUGGUUGAUAGCCCUCAUGAAUCCCUAGUGCAUCUCAUGGGGGAAGUCCAGCACAGUGGGAGGACUUGGAGGAAUCUAGAACUCUAGCAGUGGGAGGACUUGGAGGAAUCUAGAACUCUAGCAGUGGGAGGACUUGGGGGGAAUCUAGAACUCUAGCAGUGGGAGGACUUGGAGGAAUCUAGAACUCUAGCAGUGGGAGGACUUGGGGGGAAUCUAGAAC
Molecule: long non-coding RNA, 1020 nt
Filed under: Salmo salar (Atlantic salmon)
Lineage: Eukaryota; Metazoa; Chordata; Actinopteri; Salmoniformes; Salmonidae
Description: lncRNA (ENSSSAG00000105943.1, ENSSSAG00000120122.1)
Source: RNAcentral